Podarcis lilfordi (Lilford's wall lizard) is the source of this 6206-nucleotide non-coding RNA. NCBI's taxonomy places the organism in Eukaryota, Metazoa, Chordata, Lepidosauria, Squamata, Lacertidae. The record is from the annotation of a GenBank genome assembly.
UAGUAUCAGGAAGCAAGAUAUCAGAAAGCCAUUUCACCAAAGAUGAUUAAGAGAGUCUUGCUCCAGAACCCCUUUAGAAGUUAAAAAAUGAAAAGAAAAAGAGAUGGAGGUAACUUACGGAAUAGGCCCUUUUCAGCGCUGGGACCAGUGUUGUGGAAUUCCCUCCACAAUGAAGUUUACUGAAUUUACAGUGCAAUACAGAUGUAAGUCCAAUUGAAUUCAGUGGGUCUCACUCCCUAGAUAAGUGGGUAUAGGAUUACAGCUUUAGAAAGCUGGCAAAUACCUUUAUUCUUCAAAAAACAUUUGAGGAGUGAUUCUGGCUUUUUGUAUGUGGAUUGUAUAUACUAUAUUGUAUUGCUGUAGUGUAUAUUGAAUUUAGCUACUAACAUGAGUUUGACCAAACUGCGGGAGGAGGACAGGAGUGCCUGGCGUGCUCUGGUCCAUGCUGUCAUGAAGAGUUGGACACGACUAAACAACAACAGCAACAGCAACAUAUUGAAUUUAAGGGCCAAUAUGUAUUGGGUAGGGCUUUCCCCCCCAUUGUGUUGUUUUAUGGUUGUGAACUCACAACAAUAAAAAAUAAAACAAUACAAUGUCAAAGGCAGGGGAGCUCAUCUGGACAUAGAAUAGGAUAACAAUUUAAUAAAUGAAAAACGAACGAUCCUGAAAUCUCCAAGGAGAGAGGCAGUGCACAGUAUUGAUCCACCAAGACUUUUGUUCCUAGGGGUUUCAUCUAUAGAAUUGCAGGCUGGAAAUAUUCUUGGUUAAGCAUUUAAGCAUAAUAGUUCUCAUGUGGGAAAGGUAGACAUGAAAGCAGUAGGUAGGAAAACGCCUUUCUCUACUCUCCUGGAGUCUGCAGCCUGGCUUCCAGCUGGGCUCUUGUGAGAGCACAGCCUGAAAGAGACCAUUAGGGUGCAAAAGCAAUGAAUGAUGCUAGUCCUGGUCUAAAAUCAUCUUCCAUUCACUUCUUUGGUAACGUUUGGGACAAAAUAUGCUAUGAGUUUUCUGGGAUCUCACUGGGGGAAAAGGCUACUCAAUUAAAACAAGCUAAGGAAACAAGCUUCUUUUGCCCUGUGUAAGCAGUGAAAGGGCAGAGGCAACAGUGAGUAUCUUCAGCAGCUAAAGAAGAAAGGAGCUUGAAAGACCCCAAAUCUGGAGUGAGGCCAAAUGCAAAGUGAGUUGUUUUGGGAUGAAGAGGCAGCUCAUGGAAGAGGGGAACUGGGCACUGGGAGAGCUGCUAAAGCAACAUUUGAGGUGGGGGCCCACAAAGCGCUUUGUCAUCAUUUAGAGAGAAGUUAAAAUACGGGGCGGAUAAGGACGUAUAAAUUGGCAGCAGAUUGUGGUUUAUGGUAAUGACAGUCCCAGAGGAGCAUCUCUCUCUUGGUGACAUUGAAGUAAAUUGCAUUGCUCAAGAUGUAUACUAAGGAUGGAUAAUGAGAUGUGUGCACAGGGUAGAAAAGAUUGUGGGUUUUAUGAUGCUAUUGAACUCCCGGAGAUGAGUGUGUGUGUGUCUUUGAAAAAGCCAAGUUGCAGAGGGGGAAGGGAAGGGAGGAGGGUGCCAAUGGUAACACAAAGCUCCAAAAAUGCAUUGUCUUGCUGCAGCCCAAAUAUUUGUACUUAAUACACUCCCUAAUCAACUCUUUUUAAAUAUGUGCACAGCCUUUCACAUGCACACCAAGGAUUCCUCCCUCCCAAAUUAUCCCUUUCUGCUGCAUCAGAGACCAACUCUGAAGCUGCCCUGAAUUUAGAUUCAGCUUAUCCAACAACACAAGCCGUUGUUUUCAGUAAUGGGAGGAAGCAUCGGCAGCAGAAGGCAUUUCUUAAGAGAAUUAGACAAAUUCAGGGAAGAUGAGGCUGUCAGUGGUUACUAGCGAAGAUGCCUGUGUUUUGCCUCCACUUUUGGAGGCAUACUGCCUCUGAGCACUAGUUGUGGGGGACCGCAAGUGAGGGGAGGGUAGCUGUUCUCAUGUCCUGCUUGUGAGCUUCCCAUUGGCAUCUGGAUGGUCACUGUGGGAGUAGGAUGCUGAGCUAGAAGGGCCUUUGGUCAGCUCUUCCUGAGUGGGGAAGAGUGAAGAGCUUCCCACAAAGCCUUUUUGGAUCAGGGCCAGCAAUGAGGCAAGAAGAUCAUCAGGUCAUAAGAAAACCCAGCUCACAACUUGGCUGGCCAUGUCUCCCACUUUACAAAGGAUACUUCUCGUCUUCAAAGAGUUCUCUGUUUGAAGGGCUAUUCAUUCCAAGUACACAUUUAAAAUAAAGAUCCCUGAGAAGGGAGAAUGGGGGGCCUUGGAGAUGUCUGUCAAGAGCAUCCCUAGAGCAGGCUGAGCAGGCUCACAGAUCAUCAGGACACUGUCUUCCCCACAAAGGUGAGAUGCAUUGUAUUUCUGUUUAAACUACAUAAACAUUUUGUAAAUUUGCACCUGUAUCUAUGAAUUAACAUAUGGACAUUUAAAAAUGACUUGACUUGUUCAGCACAUUUAUCUGCAAAACUUUUCUCAGAAUACGAUUUUCUGCAUUUUGAAUUUGCUGUCCACAUAUUUCACAUAUGUGGAAGACACAUAGCUUAUUGGUAGAUCAUCUGUUUGCAUGCAGAAGGUGCCAGGUGCAGUUCCUAGCAUCUUUAUGUAGGCCUGGGAAAGACUCCUGUCCGAAAGCCUAGGGAGCUGGUAGUGGUCAGGGCAGAGGGAGCAAAGGUCUUAUGAGAUAUAAGGCAGCUUCCUGUGUUAUCACAUCCUAGCAUAAGUAUUCUUGCCCGGUUUGCAUUCAAAGCCUUGUAUUUCUUAGCACUCUUUUCAAAGUGUUGACUAGCUUGCUAUUUAAGGAGGCUCCCAAUGUUCCCUUCAUCUGAAUUUCAGUCCCACAUUCUGGGAUUCAAAAUUACUUGGUCUUUUGGAAGUUUAUGAGGUAGAGCAAAUGCACAGAAUAAUAGGAGAAAGGCAGAAACGACAUGCUCAUCCUUUCUUAUCCCUUAUUGCUGUUCCCCUUCAAAAUAUUAAGUGGCUUGCUCUUGCACAUGGCAUUGAGCUGUUGCUCAACAUGCUCAGCAGUGCUCAUGACAUGCUCUUUGUCAUGCUGACAGUACACUCUCUGUCCUCACUGCUUUCAUCUCUAUCCAUCAUAUAUGCACAGGCAUGGCAUGUCUCCAGUUCUGCAUCCUGUGAAGAUCAGGGGCAUUGCAUUUGCAUCUUCCCACAAUGCCUUAAGGAUAGCACUCUCUUGCCCCAGUGACAAAAUGUUUGUGCCUGGAAAUCACAAAAGAGAAUACGCUAGGGACUGGGGAGAUUUGAUUCAGUUCACAUUUGAAGGUGAACCCACCUAAUUUGCACUUUUUGAAACAAUAUGUGAACCAAAACUCAUCCAUACCUCUGAAAUUCACACUUCUCCCAAUUUUGCAGUGCAGUUCUCCUGCCAAGCAAUGUGUACACUAGGGUAAAGUGGGCAUAAAAAUGCAUAGACUAGUGACAAUUAUGUGCAAAAAUGCCUUACAUUUGGGGGAAAUUGUUUUGCAAAAAUGCAAAUAUUAAGUAAGCUUGCUCAUAAAAAUGUGUGCAUUAGGAGAAACAACAGAUGUAUUUUCAUAAAGACUUUAAAAGAAAAAAAGCAAUCAGAUGUCACAGUAUGGAGAUGUGAACUUAAGAGUGGAAAAAUGAGAAACUGCAAGAAACCAAAACUGAUAGAUUUCCCCAUCACUGGAACAAGCUUGUUGUUGUUUUUAUAUGCCAUUCCUAACAGAUAUGAGCUGCUGGUGUCAAACCAAAAGGCUCUGAAUUCUCCUUCUUCUGUUCAACGUGUGCAAAUUAUUGUGACCUUUAUAUGUACUUGUGGGGGGUGUGCUUGUUGUGGCUUGUGCCGUCAUGCUCAUAUUGCAAGACCACCCAGGGGGAAUAGUGUGUGUGUGCGUCUGUUGCUGAGGUUACUUCCUUUUCUUCUCUCCGACCUCCUGCACCCGGAUUCUGAAUGCGGAGAAAUUCUUCACCUCCAAGUGUGUGUCAUCUUAAAGCUGACUUUCUCUAAGCAUAGCCAGGCAGCUGUUGCCAAGGCCAGCUGGCGUAAAUUCUCUCCGUUUGACAGCUGAUGAAGGGAUGGAGGAUUUAUAACUUAUUUGAGUUCCCAUACAUCACCCUUUGUGUCGCUUGCUUAUGAUGGCCUUGCCAAAAGAUAAAGAAGUGCAGGACUCUCAGUAUGGGCUGUGUUGACAGGCCAGGGACAAAUGUCUCUGUUGGGUAAAUUGAUUUGAAUAGCUCUAGUGAAAUAUCAGGCGAGGCUGAAAAUAUGAUUGGGUUUAAUGAUCCUCCUUGCAUUGUAUCCCACUAGAAUUCCAAAUGGCAGACAAGUUAAUUAAAGUCACGUAUAGCAUUGGGAAUGGAAGGAGAACAUAAUCGGUAGAUAUAGAUAUGUAUUGUCGGAGCAUCUAUCUAUUAACUGUAUCUGUCUGUCUAUCUAAAAGUUAUUUCCCCCUCCUGCUAUUUCCAAUAUAGUGACUUUCCUAGGAGGCCAAUAAAUAUCAUCUGUAAUUUAUAGGGUGUUUAUCCAGGUAAAACUGUUCAGAAUAUUUUCCCCUAACCCCUAGAGUCUAACAAGCAAAAACCUCGAGGCAUAAAAAUGCAGAAUGAAAAGAUGGAGAGCAGACAAACUGUUUAUUCUCCUCUGGUGAAAUUUAGUGCACAUAAAACUUAAUAUGGUGUUAAGAAUUGAGCAUUCAUUUUCUGUGAGCAAAGGAGGUUUGCGGCCGUAUAAGUUGGGAAUCGGAAAGGGAAGGUAAAGUAGUAGUUGUUGUUGGUGUGUGUGUGUGUGUUUAUCUAUCUAUAUAUUGCAUACAUGAAUGAAAAUAUGUAAAAAAUAAAGCAGAUAUAUCUUCACGUAUGCCCUUUGCACCUCUCUUUGGGCAUGACCUCAAUGCUGCCCUUGUGUGCAAAGUAGUUUUUGUUGUUCAUGUUUAAAAGAAUUAUGGGGGGGAAAGUUUGUUUGAGUUUAUCUCAUGUUGUACAUCUCUGCAGCAUCUGUUGAAUGUUAUGAACUCAGACCUUCCUUAUUCAGCAAAGUAUCACGAGAGCAUCAAGAGAUCUUGUAGGGUGGAAGAAUAAGGUGGGUCAAGAGAAGCAGUGAUUUCUCAGUGCUACAAUGCCCCACGAGUGUCAAAUGAACAUCCAAACACACUUUGGUCAACAGAUGGGGCUCCGCUGUGUGCCAGAAUUAUCCAAAGUUAAAUUGAGUGGCAAAAGGCACAUGACAUUCUUGGUGGUGAUGACCUCCUUGUGGAAUGCUCAGCCAUCAGAAGUAUGAUAGACAUGUUCAGUGCUAGCAUUAAAGAGGUAAUUGAAAACCUUAUUAUUCAUGUAGGCAUUUGGGGAGAUGUGAAAGGAAAAUUAUCCCAUUCUUACUUAAUGUUUUAGUAGCAUCUGUGUGUUGGUUUUUACACUGCUUUAUUUUUAUUGAUGUUGUAUUGAUGAGAUUAUAUUGUUUAUUGUUAACUAUCAUGGUGAAAACAGAAAUUUAGAUUUAGAAUAAGAUAAAUGAAUGGGACAGAAUUGUUAAAGAUAUGAAAGAAAGUCAGAAGAUAAAUUUAUAUGAAUAUAUAUAUAUAUAUAUAUAUAUGGCAAACACAUGCGAGUUGUGAGUAAGGUCAAAAGGAAAUUGUAUGGGGGCUACAAUCUUAUUAUUUUUUUAUAUUUUGCUGGAAGCUGCCCACAGUGGCUGGGGAAACCCAGCCAGAUGGAUGGGGUAUAAUUAUUAUUAUUAUUCAUAUUUACCUUGGAAUAAGCCACAUUGAAUCAAAUGGCACUUACAUGGGUAAACAUAUGUCACUUAAAUAGUAAGAUUGUGUGUUCAAAAAAAGAGGGGGGGGGAGACCUACAUCAUGCAUGUUAUUGGUGACACGAAGAUCAAAUCACAUUAUUUGUUAAUACCUAGUAGCCACGUAAAUAUAUAAUGGGCGAUAUCCUGUGAUGUCUGCCUAUUUGCACACACAAAAACCCACUUCAGCAUGACUUCACCUUCCUCCUCUCCCACCUCCAGUGCCAUCCAACCCCAGGGUUUUUUUGGAGGCCCCCCAACCCUCUGGAACAGAUUGGAGGUGGGCCCAGGCUGCAGGAGAAGCAGACAAAGGAGAAGCCGUGUUACGCAAGCAGACACCCUAUUGAACUUCAUUGAAUCUCACCCAAGAACUUUCUGGAAAUGUAGUGAUAGAAUUAUCAAAGAGAAAACAGGAG